GAUGAAGAACGUAGCGAAGUGCGAUAAGUAAUGUGAAUUGCAGAAUUCCGUGAAUCAUCGAAUCUUUGAACGCAUAUUGCACCUUCUGGUAUUCCGGAAGGUAUGCCUGUUUGAGGGUCAGUUAAAUAAAAAUCGGUGUUGUUGCUGCCUUUCGUGGUGACGCGUCGGAGUUGGGUCGUCUUAACCUUCGGCUAAGUGACUUAAAAUUUUGCAUGAUUUUUCGAACGUAUUUAAAUUGUUUUACGUACGUUUGGGAUAUCUGAAUGUUUUUAUUAGGUUCGGUCAUCCUCAUGAUUCGCGCCUAUAAAUCUUUUCAUUAAAUGACCUCAAAUCAGGUAAGAAUACCCGCUGAACUUAAGCAUAUCAAUAAGCGGAGGA
RNAcentral lists this unclassified non-coding RNA (378 nucleotides) under soil metagenome. RNAcentral's name for it is "partial contains 5.8S ribosomal RNA, internal transcribed spacer 2, and large subunit ribosomal RNA". The stretch from base 1 to 120 matches the Rfam family "5.8S ribosomal RNA", at positions 35 to 154 of the family's 154-position model. The record is from RNAcentral.